Molecule: ribosomal RNA, 381 nt
Filed under: uncultured archaeon
Lineage: Archaea
Description: bacterial SSU rRNA
Rfam family: Archaeal small subunit ribosomal RNA
Source: RNAcentral
AACCUUUACAAUGCACGAAAGUGUGAUAAGGGAAUCCUGAGUGCUUUGCUUUUAGUAAGGCUUUUGUUAACUGUAAAAAGGUUAGCGAAUAAGUGGUGGGUAAGACUUGUGCCAGCCGCCGCGGUAACACCAGCGCCACGAGUGGCAACCAGUUUUAUUGGGCCUAAAGCGUCCGUAGCCGGUUCAGCAAAUUUCCUGUGAAAUCGUUAGGCUUAACUUAACGGCAUGCAAGAAAAACUACUGAACUUGGGACCGGGAGGCGUCAGAGGUAUUCCUGAGGGAGCGGUAAAAUGCUAUAAUCUCGGGAGGACCACCUGUGGCGAAGGCGUCUGACGAGAACGGAUCCGACGGUGAGGGACGAAAGCCAGGGGAGCGAACCGG